RNAcentral lists this transfer RNA (358 nucleotides) under uncultured Microcystis sp. RNAcentral describes it as "partial 16S-23S ribosomal RNA intergenic spacer". The stretch from base 135 to 208 matches the Rfam family "tRNA". Lineage: Bacteria; Bacillati; Cyanobacteriota; Cyanophyceae; Chroococcales; Microcystaceae. The record is from RNAcentral.
AAGGGAGACCUAAUUCCGGUAGGAGACGAAAAAAAAGUAGUCCCUACCAAGAAUCAAUCCCAAAAGGUCGAAGCGGGGCAAGAUUGGCUUUCAAACUAGGUUCUGGGUUCAAACAAGACCUGAAUCAGGAACAAGGGCUAUUAGCUCAGGUGGUUAGAGCGCACCCCUGAUAAGGGUGAGGUCCCUGGUUCGAGUCCAGGAUGGCCCACCUGCACAGGUGGCAAAAACAAAGAAGCGAGGAAUCAGCACCUUAUCUUACUCAUAUAGUAAGAGAGAAUGCUGGCUCUGAGUAAAGAGUCCAGAGGAACCUUGAAAACUGCAUAGAGCUAGGUGAAAAAGCCAAAAAAGAAGACCGCAA